This is a non-coding RNA of Potamilus streckersoni, 77 nucleotides long. Lineage: Eukaryota; Metazoa; Mollusca; Bivalvia; Unionida; Unionidae. The record is from the annotation of a GenBank genome assembly.
GACCACUGCGGUGGCUUAGUGGUGAGAGCGUCAGACUCGGAUGCGGGAGGUUGCAAGAUCGAUCCCCGGCCGAGUCA